Molecule: long non-coding RNA, 1079 nt
Organism: Protobothrops mucrosquamatus (brown spotted pit viper)
Lineage: Eukaryota; Metazoa; Chordata; Lepidosauria; Squamata; Viperidae
Exons: 2
Source: RefSeq, a predicted model, not a curated record
UCACAGAGAAAUUGUAAUGGAAUUGGAAGCAAGCAAAUGUCCCUAUUGUCCAAAAGGGAAGAACAUCCAGGAAUGAUUCGUCACUAAAGGUCUUUUCUUUUUGAUCCAGGGGAGGCUGUUUCUUAAAAGAGUUGCUAUUCAUGAAUGCCCAUCUUGUGAAGAAAACUCUUCCUUUAUUUCACUAAAUGGAAAUGAAGAAAUGCUGCUUUGAUUCUUUUACAGCUCCUCACUAUAAAAAAAAUUACCACACGAAGCUGAAUUAUGCAGAUGGAAAGUACAACCCUUGCAAAAAGCAACUAAAAUGAAUACAUAGACCUUCAAGUAAACCAGGCCUUUGCUUAUGGUUUUUGCCCUCUAAAAGUGAUUGUGCAUACAAUACAAGCAAUUGUCAAUUCUUGUUGACACUUUGAUUCAUUCAAUAUAGCUUAGUAAAAUAAUUCACCGCAAAAAUCUUUGGAGAACCUAACAAAUCGGUAUGUUCUUAAAAUACUGUCUCAGAAAUCUUGAUGAAAAAUUGUGGCAGAAGGACCAGAAUGUACAUGUGAUGUAAAAGAAAAAAAGAGAAAGUUUGAAAGAUUUUCCACUGAAAAAAAUUCCUUCCUAAAAGAGCCAGUUUAUAAUUAGAUUUUAAUUGAAGAUUUAAGUAAAUCUUGAUACAACUGUGCAAAGUUGCACCAGUCAAGUUAUGUACAAUUGAAUGUACUUAAAAGCUGGAAAGUGGGGAUAUUAAUAAUAUGUCUCAGAAAAUGAAGGUUGGAGACUUAAAAGUUUAGAAAGUAAGCCUUGGGGCAAUAGAAUUUACUUGGUAUCCCAAUUCUUUCCUAAGGAAUUCAACAAUAAAAGGUACAACUAUCCAGGCUUUUAGGAACAACAAUGCCAGUAUAACCUUGUAUGUAAAACUUUCCACUGCUUACAUGAACAAAAGUUGGACAUGCUCAGGAAGGGCUUCUUCAUUAUUUCUCAAUAUGUUACCCAGAGUUAAGAUGGGAAUUGUGUUCUAAACUUGUUUGCAGAACAUUCUUUGCAUUGUGUUUGUUUCUACAGACUGUUUCAAGCUGGGAUAAAAGUUACUUUUUGCC